UUCCUACGGGCGGCUGCAGUGGGGAAUAUUGGACAAUGGGCGAAAGCCUGAUCCAGCCAUGCCGCGUGAGUGAUGAAGGCCUUAGGGUUGUAAAGCUCUUUUGUCCGGGAAGAUAAUGACUGUACCGGAAGAAUAAGCCCCGGCUAACUUCGUGCCAGCAGCCGCGGUAAUACGAAGGGGGCUAGCGUUGCUCGGAAUCACUGGGCGUAAAGGGCGCGUAGGCGGACUUUUAAGUCGGAGGUGAAAGCCCAGGGCUCAACCCUGGAAUUGCCUUGGAUACUGGGAGUCUUGAGUUCGGAAGAGGUUGGUGGAACUGCGAGUGUAGAGGUGAAAUUCGUAGAUAUUCGCAAGAACACCGGUGGCGAAGGCGGCCAACUGGUCCGAAACUGACGCUGAGGCGCGAAAGCGUGGGGAGCAAACAGGAUUAGAUACCCUAGUAGUCU
This 443-nucleotide ribosomal RNA is filed under the name uncultured Hyphomicrobiales bacterium. RNAcentral describes it as "bacterial SSU rRNA". It matches the Rfam family "Bacterial small subunit ribosomal RNA", at positions 336 to 796 of the family's 1533-position model. Lineage: Bacteria; Pseudomonadati; Pseudomonadota; Alphaproteobacteria; Hyphomicrobiales. The record is from RNAcentral.